This 129-nucleotide ribosomal RNA is filed under the name uncultured bacterium. Its description in RNAcentral is "partial 16S ribosomal RNA". The record is from RNAcentral.
UACACACCGCCCGUCACAUCAUGGGAAUUGGUUUACCGAAGUCGUUCACUCNCCCGAAAAAAAAAAAAAAAAAAAAAAAAAAAAAAACGNGGGGGAGAGGCGCCUAAGGUGAGGUCGAUGACUGGGAUG